GCUGCAUCUCAGUACUCAGUCCAAUACUGGCUGCGUCUCAGUACUCAGUCCAAUACUGGCUGAGUCUCAGUACUCAGUCCAAUACUGGCUGAGUCUCAGUACUCAGUCCAAUACUGGCUGUGCUCCAGAUAAAGUGGGGAGGUAAGGCAACCUUUCAAGACAUGAGAUGCAGUCCGGGACUAUAUUUUACACAAACAUAUCCCCUUGAGUUGGUUUAUGAAGACAAUGUGUGUGUAGUAUCAGCAGGAUAAAGAUUGUUUAUUAAGAGAACGUGUGUGUUGUAUCAGCAGGAUAAAGGUUGUUUAUUAAGACAACGUGUGUGUAGUAUCAGCAGGAUAAAGGUUGUUUACUAAGAGAACGUGUGUGUAGUAUCAGCAGGAUAAAGGUUGUUUACUAAGAGAACGUGUGUGUAGUAUCAGCAGGAUAAAGGUUGUUUACUAAGAGAACGUGUAGUAUCAGCAGGAUAAAGGGUGUUUAUUAAGAGAACGUGUGUGUAGUAUCAGCAGGAUAAAGGUUGUUUACUAAGAGAACGUGUGUGUAGUAUCAGCAGGAUAAAGGUUGUUUACUAAGAGAACGUGUGUGUAGUAUCAGCAGGAUAAAGGUUGUUUAUUAAGAGAACGUGUGUGUAGUAUCAGCAGGAUAAAGGGUGUUUACUAAGAGAACGUGUAGUAUCAGCAGGAUAAAGGGUGUUUACUAAGAGAACGUGUAGUAUCAGCAGGAUAAAGGGUGUUUACUAAGAGAACGUGUGUGUAGUAUCAGCAGGAUAAAGGGUGUUUACUAAGAGAACGUGUGUGUAGUAUCAGCAGGAUAAAGGUUGUUUACUAAGAGAACGUGUGUGUAGUAUCAGCAGGAUAAAGGUUGUUUACUAAGAGAACGUGUAGUAUCAGCAGGAUAAAGGGUGUUUACUAAGAGAACGUGUGUGUAGUAUCAGCAGGAUAAAGGGUGUUUACUAAGAGAACGUGUGUGUAGUAUCAGCAGGAUAAAGGUUGUUUACUAAGAGAACGUGUGUGUAGUAUCAGCAGGAUAAAGGUUGUUUACUAAGAGAACGUGUAGUAUCAGCAGGAUAAAGGGUGUUUACUAAGAGAACGUGUGUGUAGUAUCAGCAGGAUUAAGGGUGUUUACUAAGAGAACGUGUAGUAUCAGCAGGAUAAAGGGUGUUUACUAAGAGAACGUGUGUGUAGUAUCAGCAGGAUAAAGGGUGUUUACUAAGAGAACGUGUGUGUAGUAUCAGCAGGAUAAAGGUUGUUUACUAAGAGAACGUGUGUGUAGUAUCAGCAGGAUAAAGGGUGUUUACUAAGAGAACGUGUAGUAUCAGCAGGAUAAAGGUUGUUUACUAAGACAACGUGUGUGUAGUAUCAGCAGGAUAAAGGGUGUUUACUAAGAGAACGUGUAGUAUCAGCAGGAUAAAGGGUGUUUACUAAGAGAACGUGUGUGUAGUAUCAGCAGGAUAAAGGGUGUUUACUAAGAGAACGUGUGUGUAGUAUCAGCAGGAUAAAGGGUGUUUACUAAGAGAACGUGUGUGUAGUAUCAGCAGGAUAAAGGUUGUUUACUAAGAGAACGUGUGUGUAGUAUCAGCAGGAUAAAGGUUGUUUACUAAGAGAACGUGUAGUAUCAGCAGGAUAAAGGGUGUUUACUAAGAGAACGUGUGUGUAGUAUCAGCAGGAUUAAGGGUGUUUACUAAGAGAACGUGUAGUAUCAGCAGGAUAAAGGGUGUUUACUAAGAGAACGUGUGUGUAGUAUCAGCAGGAUAAAGGGUGUUUACUAAGAGAACGUGUGUGUAGUAUCAGCAGGAUAAAGGUUGUUUACUAAGAGAACGUGUGUGUAGUAUCAGCAGGAUAAAGGGUGUUUACUAAGAGAACGUGUAGUAUCAGCAGGAUUAAGGUUGUAUGGUGAGAGUGUAGCACAUGGGGGAUAUGGUAAACUUACUCCUCAGCCUGAAGUGUCCCCACUUGUGCAGCCGAGUUGUUAACGCUUCAAUGGCGCCGACUGGUAAGACGCUUCGGGAGGGCGGUCACGUGUGCUAGCCAAGCAGAUGUCCUGGGUUCGAGCGUCCGUGUGAGCCCGAUCAGGAGGAAGCGGUACUCGCUAAGUAAGCAGCGUCAGUUAUCAGUAUGCUGCUGUGACCUUGGUUUACCUCUAUGAACUGAACUGGAAUAGAAACGGAAUCAACUGUCAAAGGACUUCUGGCCUUUUCUCUGCUUAAAGCACAUGAUAUCAUAAUGUCUGGUAUGUGAAUAUUGAAUAAGAUAUUAUUUCAGAAAAUGUCAAGGUACAUGUAUAUAAGAAUAUUAUAUACUUUGAUGUGUCCAUCUAUUAAAUUAUAUGAACAACAGUGAACACUAACCUGGUGUUUGUUGGUUGAAGCCAAAAUAUUUACUUACUAAACAUCCUAUUUCUAUAUUGUGACUCGCAGUAAUAAUGUGAUUUAAGGUCAGAUUUGAUCGUGUACAUUCUUAUCCAAGUUGAACUGAGAUAACAGUCAUACUGCAUUGUAUAUUCAGCUUUAUGGUUUUAAUAAAAAUGUUGUCUUCUACCAUAUAUUCCUACAGCUACGGUUCCUCAGGCUACCACACAUUUUCUGUUGGUCCAGUAUGAUGUUGUGAGGGUAUAUGGAGACAGUAGGUUGAGGUAAACCCACUAUGACGGUAUAUGGAGACAGUAGGUUGAGGUAUACCCACUAUGAUGGUAUAUGUAGACAGUAGGUUGAGGUAUACCCACUAUGAGGGUAUAUGGAGAUAGUAGGUUGAGGUAAACCCACUAUGAGGGUAUAUGUAGACAGUAGGUUGAGGUAUACCCACUAUGAGGGUAUAUGGAGAUAGUAGGUUGAGGUAAACCCACUAUGAGGGUAUAUGUAGACAGUAGGUUGAGGUAAACCCACUAUGAUGGUAUAUGUAGACAGUAGGUUGAGGUAUACCCACUAUGAUGGUAUAUGUAGACAGUAGGUUGAGGUAUACCCACUAUGAGGGUAUAUGGAGAUAGUAGGUUGAGGUAAACCCACUAUGAGGGUAUAUGUAGACAGUAGGUUGAGGUAUACCCACUAUGAGGGUAUAUGGAGAUAGUAGGUUGAGGUAAACCCACUAUGAGGGUAUAUGUAGACAGUAGGUUGAGGUAAACCCACUAUGAUGGUAUAUGUAGACAGUAGGUUGAGGUAUACCCACUAUGAUGGUAUAUGUAGACAGUAGGUUGAGGUAUACCCACUAUGAGGGUAUAUGGAGAUAGUAGGUUGAGGUAAACCCACUAUGAGGGUAUAUGUAGACAGUAGGUUGAGGUAAACCCACUAUGAUGGUAUAUGUAGACAGUAGGUUGAGGUAUACCCACUAUGAGGGUAUAUGGAGAUAGUAGGUUGAGGUAUACCCACUAUGAUGGUAUAUAGAGACAGCAGGUUGAGGUAAACCCACUAUGAUGGUAUAUAGAGACAGCAGGUUGAGGUUGACCCAUUAUGAUGGUAUAUGGAGAUAGUAGGUUGAGGUAAACCCACUAUGAGGGUAUAUGUAGACAGUAGGUUGAGGUAAACCCACUAUGAUGGUAUAUGUAGACAGUAGGUUGAGGUAUACCCACUAUGAGGGUAUAUGGAGAUAGUAGGUUGAGGUAUACCCACUAUGAGGGUAUAUGGAGACAGUAGGUUGAGGUAUACCCACUAUGAGGGUAUAUGGAGAUAGUAGGUUGAGGUAAACCCACUAUGAGGGUAUAUGGAGAUAGUAGGUUGAGGUAUACCCACUAUGAGGGUAUAUGGAGACAGUAGGUUGAGGUAUACCCACUAUGAGGGUAUAUGGAGACAGUAGGUUGAGGUAUACCCACUAUGAGGGUAUAUGGAGACAGUAGAUUGAGGUAUACCCAUUAUGAUGGUAUAUGGAGACAGCAGGUUGAGGUAUACCCACUAUGAGGGUAUAUGGAGACAGUAGGUUGAGGUAUACCCACUAUGAGGGUAUAUGGAGACAGUAGGUUGAGGUAUACCCACUAUGAGGGUAUAUGGAGACAGUAGGUUGAGGUAUACCCACUAUGAGGGUAUAUGGAGACAGUAGGUUGAGGUAUACCCACUAUGAGGGUAUAUGGAGACAGUAGGUUGAGGUAUACCCACUAUGAUGGUAUAUGGAGACAGUAGGUUGAGGUAAACCCACUAUGAUGGUAUAUAGAGACAGCAGGUUGAGGUAAACCCACUAUGAUGGUAUAUAGAGACAGCAGGUUGAGGUAAACCCACUAUGAUGGUAUAUAGAGACAGCAGGUUGAGGUUGACCCAUUAUGAUGGUAUAUGGAGAUAGUAGGUUGAGGUAUACCCACUAUGAGGGUAUAUGGAGACAGUAGGUUGAGGUAAACCCACUAUGAGGGUAUAUGGAGAUAGUAGGUUGAGGUAAACCCACUUUGAUGGCAUAUGGAGACAGCAGGUUGAGGUAAACCCACUAUGAGGGUAUAUGGAGAUAGUAGGUUGAGGUAAACCCACUAUGAGGGUAUAUGGAGAUAGUAGGUUGAGGUAAACCCAAUAUGAGGGUAUAUGGAGACAGUAGGUUGAGGUAAACCCAAUAUGAGGGUAUAUGUAGACAGCAGGUUGAGGUAAACCCACUAUGAGGGUAUAUGGAGAUAGUAGGUUGAGGUAAACCCACUAUGAGGGUAUAUGGAGAUAGUAGGUUGAGGUAAACCCAAUAUGAGGGUAUAUGUAGACAGCAGGUUGAGGUAAACCCACUAUGAGGGUAUAUGGAGACAGUAGGUUGAGGUAAACCCAAUAUGAGGGUAUAUGUAGACAGCAGGUUGAGGGCUAUGUUAUGAAACUAGUUAGCCAGACUACUGAAAAGCCCACACUCGCUUUGUUUAGGGCCCUGGGCUGUUCAACUCUUUGUUUAGGGCCCUGGGCUGUUCAACUCUUUGUUUAGGGCCCUGGGCUGUUCAACUCUUUGUUUAGGGCCCUGGGUUGUUCAACUCUUUGUUUAGGGCCCUGGGUUGUUCAACUCUUUGUUUAGGGCCCUGGGCUGUUCAACUCUUUGUUUAGGGCCCUGGGUUGUUCAACUCUUUGUUUAGGGCCCUGGGCUGUUCAACUCUUUGUUUAGGGCCCUGGGUUGUUCAACUCUUUGUUUAGGGCCCUGGGCUGUUCAACUCUUUGUUUAGGGCCCUGGGCUGUUCAACUCUUUGUUUAGGGCCCUGGGUUGUUCAACUCUUUGUUUAGGGCCCUGGGUUGUUCAACUCUUUGUUUAGGGCCCUGGGUUGUUCAACUCUUUGUUUAGGGCCCUGGGCUGUUCAACUCUUUGUUUAGGGCCCUGGGCUGUUCAACUCUUUGUUUAGGGCCCUGGGCUGUUCAACUCUGGUCCUGGAGGGCCGAAACACUUCUGGUUUUCAUGCUUUCCUUCUAAUCAGCGACUGUUUCAGACCUGGGACAUCAGUUGCAGGAGCGGACUGGCCAUCUGGCAUUUCAGACAAAUGACGUGAGUAAGAGUUGAGAGUUAGUGGACAGGUAUGGUCUGUGUACCUCAACACAGGAAGCUUAUCAGAUAUGGUGGAAAAAAUGGUCACAGUUCCAGUCUGCUUAAGGGGUGGCUCUCCCAUAGGCACCAAUGCAUUAGCAGCUGGGUCUGGUCUGCUUAGUUCACUGACUGUAUAUGAGCUUACCUUCUCCAGCUUCACUGUUGAAGUCUUUAACCAAAGAGAGCCAGGCCCUUCCUUUAAUCAACUCCAAACAGGAAAUUGGUUCAGAGUAUCCUUUCUACUGCCAUCUGUGGGUGAUUGUGUGGUAGUUUUAUCUGAACCACAGUAAAUGCCCUCUAAACUGCCAUUUAGUUGGCAGUUCGUGACAGUUCAAGAUAUUACAAGAGGAAACAAUUAGGGAGGGAAAAUAAAUAACAUUGUAUACAACAAUAUCCAUUUAUUCUUUAAAUAUCUCAUAAAUACUUUGAUAUAGCUAUAUUUUAGAAUAGAUUGAGAACACAGGACAAGACAAUCAUUUGAAAUAAAUAUCUUAAGUAUAUAAUAGGAUAUAUUUCAGAGUCACACAGAGGA
Non-coding RNA from Oncorhynchus mykiss (rainbow trout), 5982 nucleotides. Lineage: Eukaryota; Metazoa; Chordata; Actinopteri; Salmoniformes; Salmonidae. The record is from RefSeq and is a predicted model, not a curated record.